UCCGGCGCAAAAUCCGGGGCCGGAGGAGGAGCCAGAAGAGGAACCUACGAGGGGGCGGCUGGCUUUCAGCCUCGAGCGGCUGUUCUACUCGUCGGAGGUGAUUCUGCCGGGCUGCUUUUUGCGACAGGACUGUGAACCCCCUCCUCCCUCCCCCGACAACUGCAGGAAUUCAACAGGAGAUGGAUAGUGAUUCUUGUGCACAGAGUUAGUACAUCACUAGAAGAGAGAAGAAUUACCCUCCACACGAAAAGAUUUCUUCAGAUGAAUAUGGCUUUGGGAAAACUUGUGUAAUAUGGGCAGAUGUCCUCUGUUAAUUAAGCCUUUUGGGCUUCAUAUCCUGCUUGGGAGCACCCAAAGGCAUUUGGAUGGCUGCUAAUGGAAACAGAAGACUGGAGUAGAUGAUCUGAUUCAUGAAGACAGUUCCUAUGUUUUUAGUGUUUUAUGUAGAAACAUCCUUUAAUUAUUUCACUGCAAAGAAAGGUAACAAGGCUGUUUUUAUUUAUUUAGGAGAUAUUUAUGUUACCUUCAAUAUAUAUUUUCAAGCCAAGGUAUGCCCAAAAAUUAAAUCAACCAAUCAUAACAUAUAAUGCAACAGUUCAGAACAAGACAAUAUCCCAGUAAAAACGUAAUGAAUAAAUGGAGAAAACACA
Hemicordylus capensis (graceful crag lizard) is the source of this 650-nucleotide long non-coding RNA. RefSeq lists it as uncharacterized. The transcript is spliced from 4 exons. The record is from RefSeq and is a predicted model, not a curated record. NCBI's taxonomy places the organism in Eukaryota, Metazoa, Chordata, Lepidosauria, Squamata, Cordylidae.